This 2558-nucleotide long non-coding RNA is filed under the name Brassica napus (rape). RNAcentral describes it as "long non-coding RNA (BNAP_LNC001051)". Lineage: Eukaryota; Viridiplantae; Streptophyta; Magnoliopsida; Brassicales; Brassicaceae. The record is from RNAcentral.
UUUUUGGAUGAACUUUUAUUCUUUGAUGAACCACUUAUAGAUUUAUCGAGGAUUUUGCUUUUACCUUUGUGUUUACCUCCAUCCUUGGGUGAAUUUACACCGCUAGAAGAAUUUUCAUAGCCAGGUGAAUUACUACCGCUUGGUGAACUUUUACCAUCGGUCUCUUAUCUUUCAUUUUAUUUUUAAUCUUAGAUUUAAGUUUAUUUAAGAUAGUGCUUUUACCCUUAGGUUUAACUCUAUCUUUGGGUGAAUUUUCACCGCUAGAUGAAUUUUCAUGGCCAGGUGAACUUCCCCCGCUAGACCAGGUGAAUUUCCACUGCUUGGUGAACUUUCACCACCAGAUGAACCACUCUUAUCUUUUAGUUUACUUUUAAUUUUGGAUUUUACUUUAUCAAGAAUAGUGCUUUUACUCUUAUGUUUACUUUCAUUUUUGGAUGUACUUCCACCGUCAGGUGAACUUCCACUGCUAGCUGAACUUUCACCGCUUGGUGAACUUUCACCAUCAGAUGAACCGUUUUUACCUUUCAAUUUACUUUUAAUCUUUGACUUAACUUUAUCUAAGAUAGUGCUUUUACCCUUAGGUUUACCUCCAUUCUUGGGUGAACUUUCACCGCUAGAUGAAUUUCCAUGGCUAGGUGCACUGCCACCGCUAGGUGAACCUCCACUCAUCGGUGAACCUCCACCAUCAGAUGAACUGCUCUUACCUUUCAAAUUACUUUUAAUCUUUGCUUUAACUUUAUCUAAGAUAGUGCUUUUACCCUUGGUUUUACCUCCAUUCUUGUGUGAACUUUCACCGCUAGAUGAAUGUCCAUGGCCAGGUGCACUACCACCGCUAGGUGAACCUCCACUCAUUGGUGAGCUUCCACCAUCGGAUGAACCGCUCUUACCUUUCAAUUUACUUUUAAUCUUUGAUUUAACUUUAUCUAAGAUAGUGCUUUUACCCUUGGGUUUACCUCCAUCCUUGGGUGACUUUGCACCGCUAGAUGAAUUUUCUUGACCAGGUGAACUGCCACCGUUAGGUGAACCUCCACUCAUCGGUGAGCUUCCACCACUAGAUGGACUACUAUUUCCUUUCAAUUUACUUUUAAUCUUGGAUUUAAUUUUAUCUACAAUAGUGCUUUUAUCCUUGUGUUUUCCUGUAUUUUUGGGUGAACUUGCACCGCUAGAUGAAUUUCUACCGCUUGGUGAACCUUCACUCAUUUGUGAGCUUCCACCACCGGAUGAACUAUUCUUACCUUUUAUUUUACCUUUAAUCUUUGAUUUAACCUUAUCUAUGAUACUUUUUUUACCCUUGUGUUUACUUACAUCCUUAGGUGAACUUGCACUGCUCGAUGAAUUUCUACUACCAGGUGAAUUUCCACCGCUUGGUGAACUUCCACCCCCAGAUGAACCACUCUUAUCUUUUAGUUUACUUUUAAUCUUGGAUUUUAAUUUAUCAAGAAUAGUACUUUUACCCUUGUGUUUACUUUCAUUUUUAGGUGUAUUUUCACCGCUAGGUGAACUUUCACUGCUAGCUGAACUUCUACCGCUUGGUGAACUUUCACUCAUUGGUGAGCUUUCACCAUCGGAUGAACCGCUCUUACCUUUCAAUUUACUUUUAAUCUUUGAUUUAACUUUAUCUAAGAUAGUGCUUUUACCCUUGAUUUUACCUCCAUUCUUGGGCGAACUUUCACCGCUAGAUGAAUUUCCAUGGCCAGGUGAACUGCCAUUGUUGGGUGAACCUCCACUCAUCGGUGAGCUUCCACCAUCGGAUGAACAGCUCUUACCUUUCAAUUUACUUUUAAUCUUUGAUUUAACUUUAUUUAAAAUAGUGCUUUUACUCUUGGGUUUACCUGCAUCCUUGGGUGAACUUGCACCGCUAGAUGAAUUUUCUUGGCCAGGUGAACUGCUACCGCUUGGUGAACCUCCACUCUUCGAUGAGCUUCCACCACUAGAUGGACUAUUAUUUCCUUUCAAUUUACUUUUAAUCUUGGACUUAAGUUUAUCUACAAUAGUGCUUUUGCCCUUGUGUUUAUUUUUAUUUUUGGGUGAACUCGCACCGCUCGAUAAAUUUCCACUGACAGGUGAACUUUCACCGCUUGGUGAACUUUCACUCAUUUGUGCGCUUCCGCCACUGGAUGAACUAUUUUUACCUUUUAGUUUACUUUUAAUCUUUGAUUUAACUUUAUCUAUAAUACUUUUUUUACCUUUGUGUUUACUUACGUCCUUAGAUGAACUUGCACUGCUCGAUAAAUUUCUACUACCAGGUAAAUCUCCACCGCUUGGUGAACUUCCACCACCAGAUAAACCACUCUUAUCUUUUAGUUUACUUUUAAUUUUGGAUUUUAAUUUAUCAAGAAUAGUGCUUUUACCCUUGUGUUUACUUUCAUUUUUGGGUGUACUUUCACCGCCAGGUGAACUUCCACUGCUAGCUGAACUUCUACCACUUGGUGAACUUUCACUAAUUGGUGAAGUUUGAGCUUCCACCAUCGGAUGAACCGCUCUUAUCUUUCAAUUUACUUUUAAUCUUUGAUUUAACUUUAUCUAAGAUAGUGCUUUUACCCUUGGGUUUACCUCCA